This 345-nucleotide unclassified non-coding RNA is filed under the name soil metagenome. RNAcentral's name for it is "partial contains 5.8S ribosomal RNA, internal transcribed spacer 2, and large subunit ribosomal RNA". The stretch from base 1 to 119 matches the Rfam family "5.8S ribosomal RNA", at positions 35 to 154 of the family's 154-position model. The record is from RNAcentral.
GAUGAAGAACGUAGCAAAAUGCGAUACGUAAUGUGAAUUGCAAAUUCAGUGAAUCAUCGAGUCUUUGAACGCACAUUGCGCCCCCUGGUAUUCCGGGGGGCAUGCCUGUCCGAGCGUCAUUGCUGCCCUCAAGCACGGCUUGUGUGUUGGGCCCCGUCCUCCGAUCCCGGGGGACGGGCCCGAAAGGCAGCGGCGGCACCGCGUCCGGUCCUCGAGCGUAUGGGGCUUUGUCACCCGCUCUGUAGGCCCGGCCGGCGCUUGCCGAUCAACCCAAAUUUUUAUCCAGGUUGACCUCGGAUCAGGUAGGGAUACCCGCUGAACUUAAGCAUAUCAAUAAGCGGAGGA